GAUGAACGCUGGCGGCGUGCUUAACACAUGCAAGUCGAACGAGAAGUGAAGACGGAAACCUUCGGGCGGAAGGCUUUAUUUCGAGUGGCGGACGGGUGAGUAACGCGUGGGUAACCUGCCUCAUACAGGGGGAUAACAGUUGGAAACGACUGUUAAUACCGCAUAAGACCACAGCACCGCAUGGUGCGGGGGUAAAAACUCCGGUGGUAUGAGGUGGACCCGCGUUCGAUCAGCCAGUUGGCGGGGUAACGGCCCACCAAAGCGACGAUCGAUAGCCGAUCUGAGAGGAUGACCGGCCACAUUGGGACUGAGACACGGCCCAAACUCCUACGGGAGGCAGCAGUGGGGAAUAUUGCACAAUGGGGGAAACCCUGAUGCAGCGACGCCGCGGGAGUGAAGAAGUAUUUCGGUAGGUAAAGCUCUAUCAGCAGGGAAGAAAAUGACGGGACCUGAGUAAGAAGCCCCGGCGAACUACGU
RNAcentral lists this ribosomal RNA (477 nucleotides) under uncultured bacterium. Its description in RNAcentral is "partial 16S ribosomal RNA". It matches the Rfam family "Bacterial small subunit ribosomal RNA", at positions 28 to 506 of the family's 1533-position model. The record is from RNAcentral.